This 1041-nucleotide ribosomal RNA is filed under the name Triticum aestivum (bread wheat). RNAcentral's name for it is "partial small subunit ribosomal RNA". Lineage: Eukaryota; Viridiplantae; Streptophyta; Magnoliopsida; Poales; Poaceae. The record is from RNAcentral.
UAGGAGAGGAGAUAAAACUGAGAGAGAGAGAGAGAGAGUGCUGAGUGGGCACUGCCGCCGCCGCAGGCCGCCGGCUGGGGUGCUGGGCCGCGGCCGUUCCGCUCUUUCUCUCCGAGCGCCGCACCUCUCCAGGGAGACGAAGGCGUGGUGCGCGCCUGCGGCGAGCCGGAGCUCUAGAGUUCUACGCCGACCAGCCGGACUGCCCGCCCUAGCGGAGCCCCUUCUCGUGGCAGAGGCCGGAGAAGUUCAGGCGGCCGCAGGGCCACCAGCUGCGGCUGCAGCACCGAGCCUUACAUCACGUCUUUCCAUGACCUCCAACCUUCUUCUAACACUUUCGAAAACCCUUACCGUAAGACAACCUUUUACCUCUUUAACUGUCUCGAGUUAACCCAGUCCAACAAAAGUGACUGGGUCUUUUUGCGUUCGAAGAUUUGGCAGAAGACCGGGGUGUGUAAAGUACGCCAUAUAAGACCCUCUAUGAUUUUGAGACCCACUUCCCUACGGACCAAUAACAGCAGCUGUAGGGCGAGGACAAACUCUGUUUCUACCUGGCUACCUGCCUGGGGCACCAACAGCAUACCCACCUAGGGUUUUGUGUCUAGCUCUCCGAGUACAGUUCUCUGUCAACGCCGGUCCUUGUCCGAGUCCCGUCCUAGCUGCGGGUCGAACGCAACCUGACCUUCUUCAGCCUUCGGCUGUAUCACUAGCUGUUGAGGCCGAGCGACCUGCUGUGCUUUCUCGUCAAGGUCCUUCACGACUUCGUCCACAGACCAGGGAACUGUACCUUCCUCGCGUACUACAGGUCCCUACCGGAAGAGAGAUAGCAGCACACGUGCCGCCGCCCCCAAGAUGAACGAGUCUUCUUAGACGACACUAGAAAAGUGCGAAUCCUUCAAUUCCAAACUGCUUUAAGGAAACUUUUAACUUAGUAAGUCAGGGUUUAUGAGGUCCAUCGUCGUUAUUGAUAGUGAUACAUUCUCCGAUAAGGGUCCAGAACAGAUACACAGACCUAAAACAAACGGAACCUCGGGACGUUGACCC